GAUGAACGCUGGCGGCGUGCCUAAUACAUGCAAGUCGAGCGCACAGACGAGACGCUUGCUUCCUUGACGUUAGAGGCGGACGGGUGAGUAACACGUGGAUACCUUACUUAUAUGACUGGGAUCACUUCGGGAAUACGGAGCUCACAACGGAUAAUAGCUUGAUACGCAUGGUUCCAUAGUGAUUGACGGUUUUGUUGUCUCUCAUCGCUAGAUCCUCGCCGCAUUAGCUAGUUGGUAAGGUAACGGCUAACCACGGAAACGAUGCGUAGUGCACCUCCGAGGGUGAUCGGCCACACUGGAACUGGAACACGGUCCAGACUCCUACGGGAGGCAGCAGAAGGGAAUCUUCGGCAAUGGGCGAAAGCCUGACGGAGCAACGCCGCGUGAGGGAGGAAGGUCUUCGGAUCGUAAGACUCUGUGAUUGGGGAGGAACAGAGGGAUAAGUAACUGUGCACGUCUUGACGGUACCUAAUCAGAAAGCCACGGCUAACUACGUG
This 497-nucleotide ribosomal RNA is filed under the name uncultured bacterium. RNAcentral describes it as "partial 16S ribosomal RNA". It matches the Rfam family "Bacterial small subunit ribosomal RNA", at positions 28 to 507 of the family's 1533-position model. The record is from RNAcentral.